This 77-nucleotide transfer RNA is filed under the name Lentisphaerota bacterium. Its description in RNAcentral is "Lentisphaerae bacterium (anaerobic digester metagenome) tRNA-Arg". It matches the Rfam family "tRNA". Rfam says of the family: Transfer RNA (tRNA) molecules are approximately 80 nucleotides in length. Their secondary structure includes four short double-helical elements and three loops (D, anti-codon, and T loops). The record is from RNAcentral. Lineage: Bacteria; Pseudomonadati; Lentisphaerota.
GACCCGGUAGCUCACCCGGAUAGAGCAACUGCCUUCUAAGCAGUAGGUAGCGCGUUCGAGCCGCGCCCGGGUUGCCA